GGGUUGUGAGGUUAAGCGACUAAGCGUACACGGUGGAUGCCCUGGCAGUCAGAGGCGAUGAAGGGCGUGCUAAUCUGCGAUAAGCGCCGGUAAGGUGAUAUGAACCGUUAUAACCGGCGAUACCCGAAUGGGGAAACCCAGUGUGACUCGUCACACUAUCAUUAACUGAAUCCAUAGGUUAAUGAGGCGAACCGGGGGAACUGAAACAUCUAAGUACCCCGAGGAAAAGAAAUCAACCGAGAUUCCCCCAGUAGCGGCGAGCGAACGGGGAGGAGCCCAGAGCCUGAAUCAGCAUGUGUGUUAGUGGAAGCGUCUGGAAAGGCGCGCGAUACAGGGUGACAGCCCCGUACACAAAAGCGCAUGUGCUGUGAGCUCGAUGAGUAGGGCGGGACACGUGGUAUCCUGUCUGAAUAUGGGGGGACCAUCCUCCAAGGCUAAAUACUCCUGACUGACCGAUAGUGAACCAGUACCGUGAGGGAAAGGCGAAAAGAACCCCGGCGAGGGGAGUGAAAAAGAACCUGAAACCGUGUACGUACAAGCAGUGGGAGCACCCUUUGGGGUGUGACUGCGUACCUUUUGUAUAAUGGGUCAGCGACUUAUAUUCUGUAGCAAGGUUAACCGUAUAGGGGAGCCGGAGGGAAACCGAGUCUUAAUUGGGCGUUAAGUUGCAGGGUAUAGACCCGAAACCCGGUGAUCUAGCCAUGGGCAGGUUGAAGGUUGGGUAACACUAACUGGAGGACCGAACCGACUAAUGUUGAAAAAUUAGCGGAUGACCUGUGGCUGGGGGUGAAAGGCCAAUCAAACCGGGAGAUAGCUGGUUCUCCCCGAAAGCUAUUUAGGUAGCGCCUCGUGAAUUCAUCUCCGGGGGUAGAGCACUGUUUCGGCUAGGGGGCCAUCCCGGCUUACCAACCCGAUGCAAACUGCGAAUACCGGAGAAUGUUAUCACGGGAGACACACGGCGGGUGCUAACGUCCGUCGUGAAGAGGGAAACAACCCAGACCGCCAGCUAAGGUCCCAAAGUCAUGGUUAAGUGGGAAACGAUGUGGGAAGGCCCAGACAGCCAGGAUGUUGGCUUAGAAGCAGCCAUCAUUUAAAGAAAGCGUAAUAGCUCACUGGUCGAGUCGGCCUGCGCGGAAGAUGUAACGGGGCUAAACCAUGCACCGAAGCUGCGGCAGCGAACGUAUCACUUAAAGCGAUUCAGCGGGUUACGAUUGACGGAGCGAAGCGACGUCAAAGCGUAUACAAAGUCGAGUCGGUUUAAGGAUACGUUCGUUGGGUAGGGGAGCGUUCUGUAAGCCUGUGAAGGUGGCCUGUGAGGGUUGCUGGAGGUAUCAGAAGUGCGAAUGCUGACAUAAGUAACGAUAAAGCGGGUGAAAAGCCCGCUCGCCGGAAGACCAAGGGUUCCUGUCCAACGUUAAUCGGGGCAGGGUGAGUCGACCCCUAAGGCGAGGCCGAAAGGCGUAGUCGAUGGGAAACGGGUUAAUAUUCCCGUACUUGGUGUUACUGCGAAGGGGGGACGGAGAAGGCUAUGUUGGCCGGGCGACGGUUGUCCCGGUUUAAGCGUGUAGGUGUGUGUUCCAGGUAAAUCCGGUUCACUUUAACACUGAGGCGUGAUGACGAGGCACUACGGUGCUGAAGCAACAAAUGCCCUGCUUCCAGGAAAAGCCUCUAAGCAUCAGGUAACAUCAAAUCGUACCCCAAACCGACACAGGUGGUCAGGUAGAGAAUACCAAGGCGCUUGAGAGAACUCGGGUGAAGGAACUAGGCAAAAUGGUGCCGUAACUUCGGGAGAAGGCACGCUGACACGUAGGUGAAGUGAUUUACUCAUGGAGCUGAAGUCAGUCGAAGAUACCAGCUGGCUGCAACUGUUUAUUAAAAACACAGCACUGUGCAAACACGAAAGUGGACGUAUACGGUGUGACGCCUGCCCGGUGCCGGAAGGUUAAUUGAUGGGGUCAGCGCAAGCGAAGCUCCUGAUCGAAGCCCCGGUAAACGGCGGCCGUAACUAUAACGGUCCUAAGGUAGCGAAAUUCCUUGUCGGGUAAGUUCCGACCUGCACGAAUGGCGUAAUGAUGGCCAGGCUGUCUCCACCCGAGACUCAGUGAAAUUGAACUCGCUGUGAAGAUGCAGUGUACCCGCGGCAAGACGGAAAGACCCCGUGAACCUUUACUAUAGCUUGACACUGAACAUUGAGCCUUGAUGUGUAGGAUAGGUGGGAGGCUUUGAAGCGUGGACGCCAGUCUGCGUGGAGCCGGCCUUGAAAUACCACCCUUUAAUGUUUGAUGUUCUAACGUGGACCCGUGAUCCGGGUUGCGGACAGUGUCUGGUGGGUAGUUUGACUGGGGCGGUCUCCUCCUAAAGAGUAACGGAGGAGCACGAAGGUUGGCUAAUCCUGGUCGGACAUCAGGAGGUUAGUGCAAUGGCAUAAGCCAGCUUGACUGCGAGCGUGACGGCGCGAGCAGGUGCGAAAGCAGGUCAUAGUGAUCCGGUGGUUCUGAAUGGAAGGGCCAUCGCUCAACGGAUAAAAGGUACUCCGGGGAUAACAGGCUGAUACCGCCCAAGAGUUCAUAUCGACGGCGGUGUUUGGCACCUCGAUGUCGGCUCAUCACAUCCUGGGGCUGAAGUAGGUCCCAAGGGUAUGGCUGUUCGCCAUUUAAAGUGGUACGCGAGCUGGGUUUAGAACGUCGUGAGACAGUUCGGUCCCUAUCUGCCGUGGGCGCUGGAGAACUGAGGGGGGCUGCUCCUAGUACGAGAGGACCGGAGUGGACGCAUCACUGGUGUUCGGGUUGUCAUGCCAAUGGCACUGCCCGGUAGCUAAAUGCGGAAGAGAUAAGUGCUGAAAGCAUCUAAGCACGAAACUUGCCCCGAGAUGAGUUCUCCCUGAGACUUAGAGUCUCCUGAAGGAACGUUGAAGACGACGACGUUGAUAGGCCGGGUGUGUAAGCGCAGCGAUGCGUUGAGCUAACCGGUACUAAUGAACCGUGAGGCUUAACCUUACAACGCCGAAG
This 3008-nucleotide ribosomal RNA is filed under the name Salmonella enterica. RNAcentral's name for it is "23S ribosomal RNA". It matches the Rfam family "Bacterial large subunit ribosomal RNA". Lineage: Bacteria; Pseudomonadati; Pseudomonadota; Gammaproteobacteria; Enterobacterales; Enterobacteriaceae. The record is from RNAcentral.